CGGUUCCCCUCGCGUCUCCCCGACUACGUAGCGGCCGCGUCGCGCCGCCGGGCCUCCUUCCCGUGCCCCACCCCACUUCGUACGCCGAACUUCAAGGCGGUUAAAGACGCUCUCUCUCCUCGCGCUUUCGCGAUGCUUCGCGUCGGUCCUGUAAAUGCGUUACGUGGAAUUUUCGUCGCCCGACGACUCCGAAUAUCGUAUCGCACCACCGCUCGCGCACAGCCAAGUUCGCAGUUAGCGAGUCCUUGCGACGAUAUCGCGAUUACGCGAUUCGACGAGUCUGACAAUCCGACUGUUGCGUCGAGACAGCCUGUCUUAAAUGAGAAGGGAACUCCGGUUUAUCGAUGUUAACGGUGACUUGUUGGCACGCGAACGGUACACGGAUUCUUCGAGAAUACGGUAAUCUGUAUGUAUUGAGAGAUCUUGCAGUACCUCUUUGCUCUUGCUCCUCUGAACGACGCCUCGGAGGAAAAUCUUUAUAUCAAUCUGAGACAAUGUCGGCGUCUACUACCAACCGUCACGAGCUAGCUAAUAACUGUGUGAUAGUAAUCGGUGAUCCAAAAUGGCGCCCACGCGACGCUCGCGUAGCGUUAACGGCUAUUGAAACUUAAAAGAUAGCUAUUUGGAAGUUGCGAUAAAGUUAGAAAUCGCACAAUACCGCCAAGUUCGGAAUAUCGUUCUCGGCGGAGCGGCUGAAUUCAUAGUUUAUCGAUAUCUCACUCCGGGAGAGUAAUAGUCGCGAUUCGCAUUCGCAUGCUCCGAUAUCACGUGCGCGAUUUACAACGCUUGAAUUCGUGACUUCGCGUUCAAUUCGUGUCAAACGUACGCUUUCGCUCAGUGAAUUCGCUUUCUCCAACUCGCGAUCGCGAGAUGAUCAGUGAGUUACAAGGUCGCUUACUGGUUACACUACAUCACCGGUUACAAGGACAAUACGUCGACGUCGAGACUUCUGCUCCGCAUCUUCCUACAUUCUUUGGUAUCGCGUAAUCAACGUAUGGGUAAGAUAUCCCUGCUGGAGAGUGACGAGAAGAGGACAACACCUAUCGUCGCCGACUUAUAAUAUAAUAAAAUAAACGAACCGCAGCCGGUUCGUCGCGUCGCGCGUUUUUUUCCGGGAGUGCCGUUUAAGUAUUGGACUAAUGGACUUUUCAUAACUCCCAUUUGAUAGACUCCUAGUUCAAGGGCUGGGAAUCGCACCCCCGCUGCUUGGCAGUGGAUAUCUUCUUACUGGGGCGUUGCGCAUGGUGGCUAAGAAAGACGGCGCACCGCGACGUUCCAUGCCGAGUGCUCGUGCACGAGGUAAUGCCGGGCCGCAUGUACGACAUGCCCCGUGUGCAUGUUGCGCGGCUGUCUGGUUGUGUGAGGUUACACGCUCUGUCUCUGACGAUCGGUUCGGUCCUAAGCGGUAAGAGUUCGGAUCAGUUGCUUUGGAUUCGCACGUUUCUCUUGCUCUCGUCCACCAUCCUAAGGCUUUCUUAGAUCCUUGAUACCCUUUUUGGAUUUUUUGGAUCUGGGGUUCGAGCUGGGUGAAUUACGUUUAAUCUGACUUGGUCAGAACUUGGCCUUGUAGGUUAAGCUUGUGACGAGAGGCUGGCUCUCAUUUCCUGAUUCGUCUAAAAUGCUAGACGUCGGCAAUGAGUACCUUCUUCUCUCGUCCUGCCGGAGUGUCUUGUCGACGCCGCUUGGAUAUAAGAUCCAGUGGGACUGAUCUCGAUGAUCCGUUGGCUGGGCGUAUGAACGGGUCAAUUUUAGACGUGAUUUUUGUGAGACAAGAGACUUCGGAUUCAUUGCCAUUGAUUUCGUUUUCUUCCGCGUGGGGCUUACCUUUUUUGGGGGGCGGGUACGCGUGCGUCUUACUCGCCGACUCGGGGUGCUGAAUCCACGGGAAUCCCUCUGAAUAGGAACUCGUAUCAUGGGUUUUAUAAACCCGAAGUGCCGCAGUAUCACGUGAAAAAUUUUUAUAAAUAAUUAGUCCACGCGCGCAAAUUUAGUAUAUUAUUCGCGAGUGUUUCGCGUGUGCAACGAAAGAAAGAGACUUAACAACCUGGAGGACUGAGAGGAGGAGGAGGCCUGGGAGAGGCAUCGGGCCUCAGCGGAGCAACCUUGGGUAAUCACCGCAGCUCCGUGGCUGAAUAACUCCGCUCGUUGCGCAUCGGAUUGGUAAGUCAAAUAUCAAUUCAUGUA
Long non-coding RNA from Solenopsis invicta (red fire ant), 2184 nucleotides. RefSeq lists it as uncharacterized. The record is from RefSeq and is a predicted model, not a curated record. Lineage: Eukaryota; Metazoa; Arthropoda; Insecta; Hymenoptera; Formicidae. The transcript has 4 exons.